RNAcentral lists this ribosomal RNA (552 nucleotides) under Triticum aestivum (bread wheat). RNAcentral describes it as "partial small subunit ribosomal RNA". The record is from RNAcentral. Lineage: Eukaryota; Viridiplantae; Streptophyta; Magnoliopsida; Poales; Poaceae.
AUGUCGCCCCUGAGCCCCGGCGCCCCCUUUGCUCCGUUGCACGCCGAUGGCAUCCUCGUCGCUCAAGCCUUUUUCCUCACCCUGCUGCUUUCAGUUGUUGUUGGUUCGUUUGGCCAUCAUGGACAUGUUGCUGCGGACUCCCAGUACAACUACACCAUGGUGAUACGUGAACGACUACUCGGCUAUGACAAGUUGUACGACUACACCCAACGAUGCGACAACUACCUCUACCGUCGACCCUCGAAGGCACCAUGGACGUCAAGUUCCUCGCCAUGUACCACUACCGUCGACGUGUACGUCUACUAUGUGAACGUGUACCCGACGACCCCGGAGACCUAUGUUGCGCCAAGUACCCCCUCGUUGACCCGUACAUCUACAGGAAAACGUGUACCACUACCGUCGAAGAACGAUAGUACCACUACUUCUACUACCGUCGCGGAACGACUUCUUACUCUACUUCCCUCGUCGAACCAGAACCAUUCCGAGAACGCACGCUUUGAAGGUAUAACCCCGAGACGACCGCCCGUGAAAGAAGGCAUGUGUGAUGUAUGA